AACGAACGCUGGCGGCAUGCCUAAUACAUGCAAGUCGAACGAGAUCUUCGGAUCUAGUGGCGCACGGGUGCGUAACGCGUGGGAAUCUGCCCUUGGGUUCGGAAUAACUUCUGGAAACGGAAGCUAAUACCGGAUGAUGACGUAAGUCCAAAGAUUUAUCGCCCAAGGAUGAGCCCGCGUAGGAUUAGCUAGUUGGUGGGGUAAAGGCCCACCAAGGCGACGAUCCUUAGCUGGUCUGAGAGGAUGAUCAGCCACACUGGGACUGAGGCACGGCCCAGACUCCUACGGGAGGCAGCAGUAGGGAAUAUUGGACAAUGGGCGAAAGCCUGAUCCAGCAAUGCCGCGUGAGUGAUGAAGGCCUUAGGGUUGUAAAGCUCUUUUACCCGGGAUGAUAAUGACAGUACCGGGAGAAUAAGCUCCGGCUAACUCCGUG
This 433-nucleotide ribosomal RNA is filed under the name uncultured bacterium. RNAcentral's name for it is "partial 16S ribosomal RNA". It matches the Rfam family "Bacterial small subunit ribosomal RNA", at positions 29 to 507 of the family's 1533-position model. The record is from RNAcentral.